This 877-nucleotide ribosomal RNA is filed under the name uncultured Rheinheimera sp. RNAcentral's name for it is "bacterial SSU rRNA". It matches the Rfam family "Bacterial small subunit ribosomal RNA", at positions 398 to 1267 of the family's 1533-position model. Lineage: Bacteria; Pseudomonadati; Pseudomonadota; Gammaproteobacteria; Chromatiales; Chromatiaceae. The record is from RNAcentral.
CGCGUGUGUGAAGAAGGCCUUCGGGUUGUAAAGCACUUUCAGUAAGGAGGAAGCGUUGAGUGUUAAUAGUACUCAGCGUUGACGUUACUUACAGAAGAAGCACCGGCUAACUCUGUGCCAGCAGCCGCGGUAAUACAGAGGGUGCAAGCGUUAAUCGGAAUUACUGGGCGUAAAGCGCACGUAGGCGGUUUUUUAAGUCAGAUGUGAAAGCCCCGGGCUCAACCUGGGAAUUGCAUUUGAAACUGGAAAACUAGAGUGUGUGAGAGGGGGGUAGAAUUCCAAGUGUAGCGGUGAAAUGCGUAGAGAUUUGGAGGAAUACCAGUGGCGAAGGCGGCCCCCUGGCACAACACUGACGCUCAGGUGCGAAAGCGUGGGGAGCAAACAGGAUUAGAUACCCUGGUAGUCCACGCCGUAAACGAUGUCUACUAGCUGUUCGUGACCUUGUGUCGUGAGUAGCGCAGCUAACGCACUAAGUAGACCGCCUGGGGAGUACGGUCGCAAGAUUAAAACUCAAAUGAAUUGACGGGGGCCCGCACAAGCGGUGGAGCAUGUGGUUCAAUUCGACGCAACGCGAAGAACCUUACCUACUCUUGACAUCCAGAGAAGACUGCAGAGAUGCGGUUGUGCCUUCGGGAACUCUGAGACAGGUGCUGCAUGGCUGUCGUCAGCUCGUGUUGUGAAAUGUUGGGUUAAGUCCCGCAACGAGCGCAACCCUUAUCCUUAGUUGCCAGCACGUAAUGGUGGGAACUCUAGGGAGACUGCCGGUGAUAAACCGGAGGAAGGUGGGGACGACGUCAAGUCAUCAUGGCCCUUACGAGUAGGGCUACACACGUGCUACAAUGGUAUGUACAGAGGGAGGCAAGCUGGCGACAGUGAG